Molecule: unclassified non-coding RNA, 305 nt
Filed under: uncultured fungus
Lineage: Eukaryota; Fungi
Description: sequence contains ITS1
Source: RNAcentral
AUCCGAGACGUUGAGCAAGUCAGCGAGCCGCUCGCAACGGCCAAGGAAAAAAACGUCUUCAGUUAAACCUAAAUCGCUGGCUAGACGCUCCAACGACGCGCGUAAAGGCCCUUCUCCAGCAAGUAGGAAACCUGUUCCGGGCGCCGAUUGCUUAACCUGGCGGGCUGCCCUCAGAAACAUUGGAUAGUCUUUCACUUCAUGUCGCAUGUUCGCGACGAUAGUUACAAAAGCACUAUGUCUGGCCUUUUCUAAACCUAAGGAAUGCAGACUUUCUUCACGUGUAAGACCGGAAGUCGCGAGUCGCC